This 631-nucleotide long non-coding RNA is filed under the name Felis catus (domestic cat). Its description in RNAcentral is "lncRNA (ENSFCAG00000045990.2)". Lineage: Eukaryota; Metazoa; Chordata; Mammalia; Carnivora; Felidae. The record is from RNAcentral.
AUUGUUUUUGAUUUCUUUCCCUUAUUUAUUGUUUUAAUUUUCUAGGUAUUCUCUUUUGAACGGGAGAGUUGUGUGUCACCCUAGAUCCCCAGAAACACACCCUACUUGUACGGGCAGGAUCCAACUCAGACUUGAUGAAGCAACUGAUCUUCAGCUGGCUGGCCUAAUGUUAUUGAAAAAGAGCAUGUUGUCUUCGGUGACAAGCAUGUGACUGGUAAAGGAAGCAGGGAAGUGGCAUGGAGAGCACAACUCAGAGUUUCCCACCACUUUGCAAAGUAAGUGAUUAGAUGUAGUUCAGCAUUUACAAAUCUCACUCCCCUGUGUACAUCUGUGGCCUCCAAUUAAAUUGAAAGUUUCAUUCUUAGAGAACUCCAAAUGUGGACCCAUCAGCAGCAUUUAGGUUCGUGUUCUUGUAUUCAAAAUACCAUUUUAUGUGGUAGUGAGUAAAAAUGAGAUAGAAUGAUGAGAUGGAUCUACUAAAAGUCUGUCCUAAAAACCACCAGAACUUUCUCUAAACACAGUCCCUCAGUCUUGUUUUUAUUACAUUGGAGAAACCACAGUUUGAGUUCCCAAUUAUUGCUGCAAGGUGGAUGAUAAAGGAUCACAGUACAAACAAUUUUUAAACAUUUGG